GAUUUUGAUUUUUCACAUUUUAGCGUAUUCCAACAAAUUUUGAUUGUAAUGAACUUUUACAGUUGCUCAAAAAAUGGCUAACACACUGAACAAAAUAUGCUCAAGUACAUAUGGAAACUUCUCCGAUUAAAGGUGACCAGGUGACCACCGGUGACCUGACUGACCUUUGGCGACCCAUACCAUCAUAUUGUUGUGUCAUCAUGUGUUUGUCUGUGUGCCUGUGUUAGCAAAGGUGCAUGUAAAAUAAUAAAGAUGCUCUUCGUAUUGAUUUGGGGGUCAUGCAUUCAUUAGUAAUCCUAAAGAACUCAUUAGUCGUCCCUUUUUCCUCUGCAAGACAGUGAAGAUGAUAAACAUGAACAAGGAAGAGAUGAUGCAUUUACAUGCACUUCUCCUUUAUGACUAGUGAUAUUCACCUGAUACAAAAUCAACUGAAUGCCUAGUCCCAUAGUAAAGUUAGUGUCUGAUCCCGAAGCAUCAGUUUAUGACACUGUUGGUGAACAGAUCAACAGAUAUGAUCAGAGUAAGUACAGAUUAAAGAGGUAAUCUUUGGGCCAGUUCCUGAAAUUAGUGCUAUAGUCAUCAUAAAGUGGACAAGUUAAAGAUGGAGAAUCAUUAGGAAAUUUCCCCAAGAGAAUACAUCUAAAUAGAUUUCAAUAGAUUCUCUUUCGACAGGUACAUAUAGGUAUAUGUGCAGCAUCCUUCCCUUCCUCCCCUUUGUUACCUCUGGUAUAAAGGUUACCUCUGAAGACCAGCAGGUGUAAAGGUUAUACCUCCGAUAACCAGCGAUAACCAGCGCUAACUCUGUUGUACAUGUAGCUGUAAUAACAAAAUGUCCACUUGAUUAGAUUGGAAGAGUCAAAUCAGAAGAGGUAUUCACAAGGCCACAUUCUGAAAUUUGUACUAGUCAUCAUAAACAGGACAUGUUCAAGCCUUAUUUUUGUCUUAUGAUGAUGGAAUACUUUCUCGCACUCCAGUUGACUUAUGUCAGGCACAAGUCACUAUGUGAUUUGAGGG
Amphimedon queenslandica is the source of this 1014-nucleotide long non-coding RNA. RefSeq lists it as uncharacterized. The record is from RefSeq and is a predicted model, not a curated record. The transcript is spliced from 9 exons. NCBI's taxonomy places the organism in Eukaryota, Metazoa, Porifera, Demospongiae, Haplosclerida, Niphatidae.